Molecule: ribosomal RNA, 448 nt
Filed under: uncultured bacterium
Lineage: Bacteria
Description: bacterial SSU rRNA
Rfam family: Bacterial small subunit ribosomal RNA
Source: RNAcentral
GAACGGCAGCACGGGGGCAACCCUGGUGGCGAGUGGCGAACGGGUGAGUAAUACAUCGGAACGUGUCCUGUAGUGGGGGAUAGCCCGGCGAAAGCCGGAUUAAUACCGCAUACGAUCUACGGAAGAAAGCGGGGGAUCGCAAGACCUCGCGCUGCAGGGGCGGCCGAUGGCAGAUUAGCUAGUUGGUGGGGUAAAGGCCUACCAAGGCGACGAUCUGUAGCUGGUCUGAGAGGACGACCAGCCACACUGGGACUGAGACACGGCCCAGACUCCUACGGGAGGCAGCAGUGGGGAAUUUUGGACAAUGGGGGCAACCCUGAUCCAGCAAUGCCGCGUGUGUGAAGAAGGCCUUCGGGUUGUAAAGCACUUUUGUCCGGAAAGAAAACGUCUUGGUUAAUACCUGAGGCGGAUGACGGUACCGGAAGAAUAAGCACCGGCUAACUACGUG